AUUGAACGCUGGCGGCAUGCCUUACACAUGCAAGUCGAACGGUAACGGGCCUUCGGGUGCCGACGAGUGGCGAACGGGUGAGUAAUGUAUCGGAACGUACCUUUCAGUGGGGAGUAACGUAGCGAAAGUUACGCUAAUACCGCAUACUCUGUGAGCAGGAAAGCAGGGGAUCGCAAGACCUUGCGCUGAUUGAGCGGCCGAUAUCAGAUUAGCUAGUUGGUGAGGUAAAGGCUCACCAAGGCGACGAUCUGUAGCGGGUCUGAGAGGAUGAUCCGCCACACUGGAACUGAGACACGGUCCAGACUCCUACGGGAGGCAGCAGUGGGGAAUUUUGGACAAUGGGGGCAACCCUGAUCCAGCCAUGCCGCGUGAGUGAAGAAGGCCUCGGUUGUAAGACGUCUUUC
This 404-nucleotide ribosomal RNA is filed under the name uncultured bacterium. RNAcentral's name for it is "bacterial SSU rRNA". It matches the Rfam family "Bacterial small subunit ribosomal RNA", at positions 30 to 437 of the family's 1533-position model. The record is from RNAcentral.